Molecule: ribosomal RNA, 503 nt
Filed under: uncultured bacterium
Lineage: Bacteria
Description: partial 16S ribosomal RNA
Rfam family: Bacterial small subunit ribosomal RNA
Source: RNAcentral
GAUGAACGCUAGCGACAGGCUUAACACAUGCAAGUCGAGGGGCAGCGGGGUGUGGCAACACAUUGCCGGCGACCGGCGCACGGGUGAGUAACGCGUAUGCAACUUGCCUAUCAGAGGGGGAUAACCCGGCGAAAGUCGGACUAAUACCGCAUAAAACAGGGGUUCCGCAUGGGGAUAUUUGUUAAAGAUUCAUCGCUGAUAGAUAGGCAUGCGUUCCAUUAGGCAGUUGGCGGGGUAACGGCCCACCAAACCGACGAUGGAUAGGGGUUCUGAGAGGAAGGUCCCCCACAUGGGUACUGAGACACGGACCAAACUCCUACGGGAGGCAGCAGUGAGGAAUAUUGGUAAAUGGCCGGGAGGCUGAACCAGGCAAGUCGCGUGGAGGACGAAGGUCCUAUGGAUUGUAAACUUCUUUUGUGCGGGAAUAAAGUCGGGGACGCGUCCCCGUUUGCAUGUACCGCGCGAAUAAGCAUCGGCUAACUCCGUGCCAGCCGCCGCCGUAA